GUCCAACAUUAUCUGCGCUAACGCUGCUGGGCUCCCAAGGUUGCCAGUUCCCCUGGGGCUGUGACCUCAACUCUCAGAAGGAACUUCGGCUGCUGCGACGAACGUGAGGGGCAGUAGCGCCAGCGCAGGGGGACUCCGCUCGGCGGCAGCCCAGCGCGCUUUCCCGUGGAAGCUUCUGGACGCCCGGCUCCCGGCUGCAGAAGCCCGUCUCUGCUUCUGCUUCCCGAUCAGCUGCCGCCCAGUGAGGCUUUAGCAACAGUGUUUUGGUGCUGGUGGAGCAAACUCACGCCCCUGGCCAGCCUUUUCAGCGACUGGUGCCAAGAGUCCUAGUUCACCAGCGCCGCCCCUUUAAGAGAUUUAGACUGACUGCAGACAUUUUGUAACUUUUUAAAGGGGGCAAAGGGCAGUUCCCAGAAGGAAAACAGACCGUGACCCCGUGAAAGAACCCUCACGGCUCCCCAGCUGUUCCCGUGGGAGAUGGAACGGAGCCCAAGCAGCUCUAUGACCACACUAGUAGAGACCCGGCUCCUUCGGAGUGGCCAAGCACCUCUUCCCCUGCGCCCAGGGCCGAGACUGAAAACCAAUUUUUUUUGCUCGUGGGUGGGAUUUCCCCAGAGCAAAGGGCAAACAAAUCUUUAGCGGGUAACAAUGAGGAUUAGGAGUACAAGUCGUCUGCGUCGUUUGUCUUGGCUGCCGCUCUACGCACUCACCAAGGUCCACCCUCUCCAGUCGUCUCCCAGUGGAAGAAAGAGAAGGAUGAAGGCCUUUGUUUCUUCUACCCAAAGAAAGGCGAGUCAGCAUUUUCUUUACCAUCCAACUAACCCCAGUAAAGAAGCAAAGCAACUGAGAGAGAUGCCCUAGCCAGAAUGCCUUGGUUCUCACCCUAGGGGUGCAAAAAGGUAGCAGGCUCUCCCAUCUCUAUCUCCAGAAAAUUGCUGGCAAAGUGAAGGAGCUACCUAAUAAAGAGUCCUCCCAGCCCAGCAUCCCAAGACAACCAAGGAAGAGGUGAAGAAGCCAGUACUGCACAGGCACAGAGCUUGCCUACCCUGUGAUUCUGGCGACAGAAGAAAUAAUCCAUAAUCAAAACCCCUCCACCACUGUGGCAGAGCAAGGGGUCUGCAUGGCAAGUGUAAAUGCCUAGCAAGGGGCAGCCUUGGCUCUGUCUGGAGAAAGUUUGGUGAGCUCCGAAGAGGAUAGGGAUCCCCUUCCAUACCAAGCAGCCCACCAGGACUAAAAUCAAGGUGGUAGAACUUCUUUCUUGUUCUGGGCCCAUCUCUUCACCCCCUCACUUACCAUUAAUGCUAUGGAGUUUUUCCAGUAUUCCAGUCUUUUAAGAGGAGAUUAUUUUUACUGGAAUUUGCAACAUAAGUGACUGCUUCAUCGAGCAGAGUAUAUGUGGCAAAAUUAACCAAGCAGUUCAUAAAAAAAAAAACCUUGCCAUUAAUAAUUCACAUUUCUAUAGCAGACAUUUAGCAAGUUACUAAGGGCUUUCUUCACAAAAAAGCCUUGGAGUUGAAUAGUCGUAUCCUCUUUAGCUUAUUAAAGCUAAGAAGACCAAGGCUCCCAGUGGCUGAAUAAAGGGGUGGGGAGAGGAAUAAACAUUUAUAUGGUACCUACUAUGUGCCAGGCAUUGUGCUAAGUGC
Molecule: long non-coding RNA, 1643 nt
Organism: Phascolarctos cinereus (koala)
Lineage: Eukaryota; Metazoa; Chordata; Mammalia; Diprotodontia; Phascolarctidae
Source: RefSeq, a predicted model, not a curated record